CAGCCGCCGCGGUAAUACGAAGGGUGCAAGCGUUACUCGGAAUUACUGGGCGUAAAGCGUGCGUAGGUGGUGGUUUAAGUCCGUUGUGAAAGCCCUGGGCUCAACCUGGGAAUUGCAGUGGAUACUGGGUCACUAGAGUGUGGUAGAGGAUAGUGGAAUUUCCGGUGUAGCAGUGAAAUGCGUAGAGGUCGGAAGGAACAUCUGUGGCGAAGGCGACUAUCUGGGCCAACACUGACACUGAGGCACGAAAGCGUGGGGAGCAAACAGGAUUAGAGACCCGGGUAGUCCCUGUCUCUUAUAC
Molecule: ribosomal RNA, 301 nt
Filed under: uncultured bacterium
Lineage: Bacteria
Description: partial 16S ribosomal RNA
Rfam family: Bacterial small subunit ribosomal RNA
Source: RNAcentral